YUACGUGCCAGCAGCCGCGGUAAUACGUAGGUCCCAAGCGUUGUCCGGAUUUAUUGGGCGUAAAGCGAGCGCAGGCGGUUAGAUAAGUCUGAAGUUAAAGGCUGUGGYUUAMCCAUAGUACGCUUUGGAAACUGUUUAACUUGAGUGCAAGAGGGGAGAGUGGAAUUCCAUGUGUAGCGGUGAAAUGCGUAGAUAUAUGGAGGAACACCGGUGGCGAAAGCGGCUCUCUGGCUUGUAACUGACGCUGAGGCUCGAAAGCGUGGGGAGCAAACAGGAUUAGAUACCCUGGUAGUCCACGCCGUAAACGAUGAGUGCUAGGUGUUAGACCCUUUCCGGGGUUUAGUGCCGCAGCUAACGCAUUAAGCACUCCGCCUGGGGAGUACGGCCGCAAGGGUGAAACUCAAAGGAAUUGACGGGGGCCCGCACAAGCGGUGGAGCAUGUGGUUUAAUUCGAUGGUACGCGAGGA
This 467-nucleotide ribosomal RNA is filed under the name uncultured bacterium. RNAcentral's name for it is "bacterial SSU rRNA". It matches the Rfam family "Bacterial small subunit ribosomal RNA", at positions 501 to 967 of the family's 1533-position model. The record is from RNAcentral.